AGUGAACGCUGGCGGUAGGCCUAACACAUGCAAGUCGAACGGCAGCACAGUAAGAGCUUGCUCUUACGGGUGGCGAGUGGCGGACGGGUGAGGAAUACAUCGGAAUCUACUUUUUCGUGGGGGAUAACGUAGGGAAACUUACGCUAAUACCGCAUACGACCUACGGGUGAAAGCAGGGGAUCUUCGGACCUUGCGCGAUUGAAUGAGCCGAUGUCGGAUUAGCUAGUUGGCGGGGUAAAGGCCCACCAAGGCGACGAUCCGUAGCUGGUCUGAGAGGAUGAUCAGCCACACUGGAACUGAGACAGGGUCCAGACUCCUACGGGAGGCAGCAGUGGGGAAUAUUGGACAAUGGGCGCAAGCCUGAUCCAGCCGUACCGCGUGGGUGAAGAAGGCCUUCGGGUUGGAAAGCCCGUUUGUUGGGAAAGAAAAGCAGCAGGUUAAUACCCCGCGGUUCUGACGGUACCCAAAGAAUAAGCACCGGCUAACUUCGUG
RNAcentral lists this ribosomal RNA (492 nucleotides) under uncultured bacterium. RNAcentral's name for it is "partial 16S ribosomal RNA". It matches the Rfam family "Bacterial small subunit ribosomal RNA", at positions 29 to 507 of the family's 1533-position model. The record is from RNAcentral.